CACUGUAGGUUAUGUGUGCCCAAGCAUUGAGGCAGUCAAAGUAGGCAAAUCCGCUUUGAUAAUGCUGGGAUGUGAUGGGGAGCGAAAUUUAGUAGCGAAGUAGCUGAUUUCACACUGUCAAGAAAAGUCUCUAUCGAGGUUAAAGGUACCCGUACCGCAAACCGACACAGGGGGGUGAGGAGAGUAUCCUAAGGCCAGCGAGAGAACUGUUGUUAAUGUAUUCGGCUAAAUGACCAGCUAACUUACGGAUGAGGGGUUCCACCAUCAGGUGGCCGCAGAGAAUAGGCCCAAGCGACUGUUUACCAAAAACAUAGGUUUCUGCUAAGUCGCAAGACGAUGUAUAGGAGCUGACGCCUGCCCGGUGCUGGAAGGUUAAGGGGAUCUGUUAGAGCAAUCGAAGCAGUGAACUUAAGCCCCAGUAAACGGCGGCCGUAACUAUAACG
This 443-nucleotide ribosomal RNA is filed under the name Clostridioides difficile. Its description in RNAcentral is "bacterial LSU rRNA". It matches the Rfam family "Bacterial large subunit ribosomal RNA", at positions 1493 to 1947 of the family's 2925-position model. The record is from RNAcentral. Lineage: Bacteria; Bacillati; Bacillota; Clostridia; Peptostreptococcales; Peptostreptococcaceae.